CUCGUUUCCAACAGUAAACAGUUGGAAGCAACACUUUGUAAAAACGAAAAUUUGCUUGGAUAUGGAAUUAAAGCCUGAAAUUUUGCUUUAUAGGUUGGAUUCCGAUACAUCGUUGUGCAAUGAUGAUGCAGGGAAUAGGUUUUGAAAUGAUUCGAUUGAAAUGAAGAAUAUCCAGUAAGAAAGAAUACGUUUAAUAAAGGAAAGAACAGGAAUAAACUGUAUUAUAUAAACGCGUCGAUGCCUUUGUUCCGCUACAUUGAGCUCGGCAAUUCGAGAAGGGGACAAACGAAACACGACGUAUUUUUUAAUACAUUUCGCACGAGAAGUAAAACAAAUAAUUUAUUUACGAAAUAAUAAAAAACAGUCGAGCUUGGAAAAUAUGGAUAUUCCCGAGUUCGAAAUUCAAGGUUUCCAAAGUUGUCCCAAUGAAUCUCGAGAUAAAAACAGCGCCAAUGGUCUACGAAAUAUACACGACAGCUCGAGGUCAAGUUUUAU
This is a long non-coding RNA of Apis cerana (Asiatic honeybee), 495 nucleotides long. RefSeq lists it as uncharacterized. The record is from RefSeq and is a predicted model, not a curated record. Lineage: Eukaryota; Metazoa; Arthropoda; Insecta; Hymenoptera; Apidae.